Arachis ipaensis is the source of this 805-nucleotide non-coding RNA. The record is from RefSeq and is a predicted model, not a curated record. Lineage: Eukaryota; Viridiplantae; Streptophyta; Magnoliopsida; Fabales; Fabaceae.
UGUAUCUUGAUUAAGGUCCACCAUAGGGUAGAACUGUAUUAACAGACUUAACUUCCUUAUAUUUGAAUAGUUGUAAGCCCAUGAUAUUACCUAUGCUCAAAUAUCUCUGCAAAAAAUCUUUUUCAGUUUACCUGUGUUAUAACAAUAGCAAUGAAGCAAUCAUGGUUGGUAGUCAUGCAUUCCUUCGCUAAGGAAGGUGGUUGUUAUAGCGGUUCUUGAGUUUUAUGCUAUCCAUAUUUAUAUUUAUUUAAUUGAAGUGAUGAUCAAGUUUCUGCCUCCUUUGCAGUCUGCAGUAACAAUAUCGAAGUUAACAGAGGAGAGGAGGCUAAACUAUCAAGAAACAAAAAUCUUGCAAGAAAAGCUGGCAGAGGUUACCAAGAGAGGUCCAAGAAAGGUUCAAGUCGGGUUUCCAUUUCUCUAUGUCUGUAUGGUGGCGCUUGUCUGUGUGUUCUUGGGAUACCACCUUCACUGUUGACACCAUAAUAUGCAGGAAACAACUAACAUUUAGAGUUUGCUUCAAGACAUGUUUGAUAAUAGCGCAGAAGUUUAGGCAUAAACCCUCAUUAUAUCGAUAAAUUUCAUAGGAUCUUUAUACUUGAGGGUCAGUGAUGUUUGAUCUGAUCUGAUCUGUGUAGUCUACAAUCAUGUAUUUUUCCGCUUUUGUAUAUGGAAAACUGCCAUGAUGAACAAGCUUGUAAAGGUAAUGAGAUAUUUGCAAUCAGCCAGAUGACUUUGUGUUGGAAAUUGUUGUGUAUUCUACUUGAGUUGGGAUUGUUAUGGUUCUCUUUGUAAACUUGUCUUUGAU